Molecule: long non-coding RNA, 305 nt
Filed under: Mytilus galloprovincialis (Mediterranean mussel)
Lineage: Eukaryota; Metazoa; Mollusca; Bivalvia; Mytilida; Mytilidae
Source: RNAcentral
UAUCACUUUUGUCCUACUUUCACCAUAGCGGCCAAGUUGAUAUGGGUUGGGAAUUUUCUAGACAUCGAUAUCUUCAAACGUUAUUUUAUGCUAAAUUACGAUAAAUCGGCAUCUUGUAUAUUUAUGCUAUUUGUACAACAUCGGUACUAUUGUUCUUUAUAAUCGUCUUCAUUGUCAGUUUACACAUUGAAUUAUAUAAUAUAUGUAAUUGGAUUUUUUUGUGGCUUAAAAGAUAACGACGGUUUUAGUUUGAAAUCUGACGUUUCCGAGAACAGUUGCAGGUAAGAAUAAAUGUUAGAAUAUAU